ACCCGCACAAGCGGUGGAUGAUGUGGAUUAAUUCGAUGCAACGCGAAGAACCUUACCUACCCUUGACAUGUCCGGAACUUGCCAGAGAUGGCUUGGUGCCCGAAAGGGAAUCGGAACACAGGUGCUGCAUGGCUGUCGUCAGCUCGUGUCGUGAGAUGUUGGGUUAAGUCCCGCAACGAGCGCAACCCUUAUCAUUAGUUGCUACGCAAGGGCACUCUAAUGAGACUGCCGGUGACAAACCGGAGGAAGGUGGGGAUGACGUCAAGUCCUCAUGGCCCUUAUGGGUAGGGCUUCACACGUCAUACAAUGGUCGGUACAGAGGGUUGCCAAGCCGCGAGGCGGAGCCAAUCCCACAAAGCCGAUCGUAGUCCGGAUCGCAGUCUGCAACUCGACUGCGUGAAGUCGGAAUCGCUAGUAAUCGUGGAUCAGCAUGUCACGGUGAAUACGUUCCCGGGUCUU
This 459-nucleotide ribosomal RNA is filed under the name uncultured Thiobacillus sp. RNAcentral's name for it is "bacterial SSU rRNA". It matches the Rfam family "Bacterial small subunit ribosomal RNA", at positions 919 to 1382 of the family's 1533-position model. The record is from RNAcentral. Lineage: Bacteria; Pseudomonadati; Pseudomonadota; Betaproteobacteria; Nitrosomonadales; Thiobacillaceae.